This 443-nucleotide ribosomal RNA is filed under the name uncultured Prevotella sp. Its description in RNAcentral is "bacterial SSU rRNA". It matches the Rfam family "Bacterial small subunit ribosomal RNA", at positions 355 to 794 of the family's 1533-position model. Lineage: Bacteria; Pseudomonadati; Bacteroidota; Bacteroidia; Bacteroidales; Prevotellaceae. The record is from RNAcentral.
GGAGGAAUAUUGGUCAAUGGACGCAAGUCUGAACCAGCCAAGUAGCGUGCAGGAUGACGGCCCUAUGGGUUGUAAACUGCUUUUAUGCGGGGAUAAAGUUUGGGAUGUAUCCCAUUUUGUAGGUACCGCAUGAAUAAGGACCGGCUAAUUCCGUGCCAGCAGCCGCGGUAAUACGGAAGGUCCGGGCGUUAUCCGGAUUUAUUGGGUUUAAAGGGAGCGUAGGCCGCUGUUUAAGCGUGUUGUGAAAAACCGGGGCUCAACUCCGGUCGUGCAGCGCGAACUGGACGGCUUGAGUGCGCGGUAGGUGGGCGGAAUUUGUGGUGUAGCGGUGAAAUGCUUAGAUAUCACGAAGAACUCCGAUUGCGAAGGCAGCUCACUGUAGCGCAACUGACGCUGAAGCUCGAAAGUGCGGGGUAUCGAACAGGAUUAGAUACCCUGGUAGU